Molecule: ribosomal RNA, 936 nt
Filed under: Pseudarthrobacter sp.
Lineage: Bacteria; Bacillati; Actinomycetota; Actinomycetes; Micrococcales; Micrococcaceae
Description: bacterial SSU rRNA
Rfam family: Bacterial small subunit ribosomal RNA
Source: RNAcentral
UUGGGCGUAAGAGCUCGUAGGCGGUUUGUCGCGUCUGCCGUGAAAGUCCGGGGCUCAACUCCGGAUCUGCGGUGGGUACGGGCAGACUAGAGUGAUGUAGGGGAGACUGGAAUUCCUGGUGUAGCGGUGAAAUGCGCAGAUAUCAGGAGGAACACCGAUGGCGAAGGCAGGUCUCUGGGCAUUAACUGACGCUGAGGAGCGAAAGCAUGGGGAGCGAACAGGAUUAGAUACCCUGGUAGUCCAUGCCGUAAACGUUGGGCACUAGGUGUGGGGGACAUUCCACGUUUUCCGCGCCGUAGCUAACGCAUUAAGUGCCCCGCCUGGGGAGUACGGCCGCAAGGCUAAAACUCAAAGGAAUUGACGGGGGCCCGCACAAGCGGCGGAGCAUGCGGAUUAAUUCGAUGCAACGCGAAGAACCUUACCAAGGCUUGACAUGAACCGGAAACACCUGGAGACAGGUGCCCCGCUUGCGGUCGGUUUACAGGUGGUGCAUGGUUGUCGUCAGCUCGUGUCGUGAGAUGUUGGGUUAAGUCCCGCAACGAGCGCAACCCUCGUUCUAUGUUGCCAGCACGUGAUGGUGGGGACUCAUAGGAGACUGCCGGGGUCAACUCGGAGGAAGGUGGGGACGACGUCAAAUCAUCAUGCCCCUUAUGUCUUGGGCUUCACGCAUGCUACAAUGGCCGGUACAAAGGGUUGCGAUACUGUGAGGUGGAGCUAAUCCCAAAAAGCCGGUCUCAGUUCGGAUUGGGGUCUGCAACUCGACCCCAUGAAGUCGGAGUCGCUAGUAAUCGCAGAUCAGCAACGCUGCGGUGAAUACGUUCCCGGGCCUUGUACACACCGCCCGUCAAGUCACGAAAGUUGGUAACACCCGAAGCCGGUGGCCUAACCCCUUGUGGGAGGGAGCUGUCGAAGUGGGACUGGCGAUUGGACGAAGUC